AUGACAACCUGGAUACAGUGAAGACUAUGACUGACCAGAAGCUCUGUCGAUACCACGGAUAUUCAAAAUUCAUCAUCAAAAUAUACAACUAUUCUUUUCUUAUUUUUUGACAAAUCGAGCUCAAUCAAGAAAUACAGCAAUUAUUGGAAAUUACUGGAUACAGAUGAUCACCUGCAUACAGUGUAGACUAUGACUGACCAGAAGCUCUGCGAUAAUUCUAAUAUUUUCUCCGGGUUCGCGAAAUUAGGAGAUGAAAUUAUUCUUGGUCAUCUCCUCGUCAGUCGCUAUUAUUUCAGGUUCAAGCCCAAUGAUGUAAGAUGUCGCUCACCAUUGCUAUAGAAUAUCAUGCUGUCGAUACCACGGAUAAUACAGAAUGCAUCAUCAGAAUACACAACUAUUCUUUUGUUACUUUUUGACAAAUCAAGCCCAAGCAGGGAAUACAGCAAUCCUUACAAAUUAAUGGAUACAGAUGACAACCUGGAUACAGUGAAGACUAUGACUGACCAGAAGCUCUGUCGAUACCACGGAUAUUCAAAAUUCAUCAUCAAAAUAUACAACUAU
This is a long non-coding RNA of Sitophilus oryzae (rice weevil), 561 nucleotides long. RefSeq lists it as uncharacterized. The record is from RefSeq and is a predicted model, not a curated record. The transcript has 3 exons. NCBI's taxonomy places the organism in Eukaryota, Metazoa, Arthropoda, Insecta, Coleoptera, Curculionidae.